Long non-coding RNA from Myodes glareolus (Bank vole), 924 nucleotides. RefSeq lists it as uncharacterized. The record is from RefSeq and is a predicted model, not a curated record. NCBI's taxonomy places the organism in Eukaryota, Metazoa, Chordata, Mammalia, Rodentia, Cricetidae.
AAGGGAAGGAGGAGGGACCUGACGAAAGCCUCCUCCAAAAUGCCCAGAGCAAAGCAGAUGGUCUCAUGCUGGUGACGUGGCUGCCUCAGUGUGGGCAAGCAUGCCCUGGAAAUGCCCAUGCAUCGAUGCAACCGGCUAUUGAUGCAUUUCCCUGGAUGCCAUCCUGCCGCUAGACGAUGGAGCUACACACAGAGCAAGCUCAGCGGUGGCCUCAUGCCUUCAGUGCCACCAGCCUGGAACCUCCUGUCCCCAGCUACCAGGAAGUGUGGAAACAUGGACAGGACAGUAGUCGAUAGAGACCGGUCUGCUAGGAUUCCUCAACCUUUGCUCCCUGAGGCCGAGGGCGGAGUCCCUCAUGAAGGAGGGUAUCCCUUCUUCUGUGCACCAGGUAUGGGAUGGAGAGGCUCUGGUCACGGGCCAGGUGAGGAAUGAAGCCGGAGUGCCCGGAGAAGGGAUAAGAGUGGCCCUGGGAAUCACUAUAAGAAUUUUGAAUGCAUUGCUGGCUGGGUGUAGGGUGUAUAUCUAGAGUUCCAGCACUUGGGAAACUGAGGCAGAAGGCUGCUAAGUCUACACCAGCUGGGCUACACCUGUGCACCACCCGUGUACCACCUGUGUACCACCCUGUCUCCCUGGGAAGGAUGCUCACUGAUGACUCCCGAGACAUUUAAAGAAAGUCCUGUCCCUUGGGGCUCUACUUGAAGAGAGGUGCCUGGUGUGGACCGCCCACCGACUUCUGGAAGACAGCCUUCCUGUGGCCCUGCUCUCUGCGUGUGUCCGGAACUGCUGCAGCUUCAACAGGAAGGUUGCCCGCCCUAUCUGUGCGCAUUCUGGCUACCAUGUCGUAUGACUCUGUAAAUCCGAGUGUCCAAUCUGUAGACUGCACACAUUCUUCAGGAACAAUAAACACCAUUGUGGUGAAGCUUA